CACUCCUGCGGGAGGCAGCAGUGGGGAAUUUUGGACAAUGGGCGAAAGCCUGAUCCAGCCAUGCCGCGUGCAGGAUGAAGGCCUUCGGGUUGUAAACUGCUUUUGUACGGAACGAAACGGCCUUUUCUAAUAAAGAGGGCUAAUGACGGUACCGUAAGAAUAAGCACCGGCUAACUACGUGCCAGCAGCCGCGGUAAUACGUAGGGUGCAAGCGUUAAUCGGAAUUACUGGGCGUAAAGCGUGCGCAGGCGGUUAUGUAAGACAGUUGUGAAAUCCCCGGGCUCAACCUGGGAACUGCAUCUGUGACUGCAUAGCUAGAGUACGGUAGAGGGGGAUGGAAUUCCGCGUGUAGCAGUGAAAUGCGUAGAUAUGCGGAGGAACACCGAUGGCGAAGGCAAUCCCCUGGACCUGUACUGACGCUCAUGCACGAAAGCGUGGGGAGCAAACAGGAUUAGAAACCCCUGUAGUCCC
Molecule: ribosomal RNA, 471 nt
Filed under: uncultured organism
Description: partial 16S ribosomal RNA
Rfam family: Bacterial small subunit ribosomal RNA
Source: RNAcentral